GGGAGCUAAAGGCUUUUCCGCAGAAGCAUCCCUUUCAGCGAGAGGCUUUUUCGGAUGGGGUCUUUUCAGACUGAGGAGUUGGCGAGGUCUUCUUGCAUAGAAGCAUGCCCUAGAGAGAAACAUUCCCGUGGCCUCUCCUGCCAUUCCUGGAUCUCUAAAAGACCCAUACUUAUUGAAGUCAAGGAAGGGCCAAUGGCGGCUUAGGGGCAUGAAGUACGACGUGUUGCACUCUGGGUUGAGGCAGUGGAAUGUCCUUGUGUUCUUCCCAGUGUCCUCUUUCCCCUUUACCAGUGGUUACCAACAAUUUCCCCUUUUUUUUUGCUUGUACACUCAAGUUUGAGUGUGUGUGUGUGUGUGUGUGUGUGUGUGUGUGUGUGUGUGUGUGUGUGUGUGUGAAAGAGAGUGUGUUUUGACUGCACGUAUGUUUGUGCACCAUGCGUGUGCCUGGUACUCUAUAAAGUCAAAAUAAUGGUGUUAAGUCCCCUGGGACCAGAGUGGUGGAUGGUUGUGAGCUACCAUGUGGAUACUGGAAACCAAACCUGGGUCAUCUGCAAGAGCCACAAGGGCUGCUGACCACGGAACCGUCUCUCCCACCGACAAUUUCUUACAUCCAGAUCCAAGCCACCUGACCCACCAGGAUCUGCAAGGAGUUCUCAGCCCAAGAGAGACGCCCAACCUCCACGGAUUCUGCCUGAGGAAGAGAGAAACUUACAAAGUCACGGGCUGCUUGCUAAAGCAGUAUAGUGCAGCUUGUCCUGGAGGCUUCCAGUUUGUGUUUUGAAUCUGUGGGGUGGGACUUCUCCAAGACAGAUGCUGCUCGGGUCCUUGUUGAGCAGCUGUGAGCCACAAAGGUCACGUUUCCUGGAACUCAAGUUGGCUUCCUCAUACACACCUGCCUCCCACCUCAGUAGGUGAAGUUCAUCCUGGGCCACUGCUGUUGUCUCUGAAGUCAUGGCUCUCAAGCCUCCAUGUGUAUCUGGAUUGGUCAGUGGAGUUGUAUAAACAGUGCUAGGCUCUGUCUCGGUAGAUGUUAUGAACUGAAGGUAACCCCCUGAAUUCCUGUGUUGAAGUCUUAAACCCCAACAUGACGUUAUUACCAGGUAGGGCCUUUGAUGAAGUCACAGAGGCAGAGCCCUCCUGGAUAAGAUUAGUACCCUUAUAAAAGUAUCCACAGCGAGGAGUUCGAUCUCCCUCUUCCAGAGAAUCAGUCUUCUAUAGCCUUGAAGAGUGUCAGCACCCGAACCAACCAUGUGAGGCUCUGGUAUCCACUUCUAGACUUGGGAACAGUGAGGAAUAAAUUUCUGUUUACAAA
Long non-coding RNA from Peromyscus californicus insignis, 1312 nucleotides. RefSeq lists it as uncharacterized. The transcript is spliced from 2 exons. Lineage: Eukaryota; Metazoa; Chordata; Mammalia; Rodentia; Cricetidae. The record is from RefSeq and is a predicted model, not a curated record.